GCCCGGGUGGAGGAAUUGGCAGACUCGCAACACUUAAAAUGUUGUGACCGUAAGGUCGUGUGGGUUCGAGUCCCACCCCGGGCA
RNAcentral lists this transfer RNA (84 nucleotides) under Candidatus Uhrbacteria bacterium RIFCSPLOWO2_02_FULL_49_11. Its description in RNAcentral is "tRNA-Leu". It matches the Rfam family "tRNA". Rfam says of the family: Transfer RNA (tRNA) molecules are approximately 80 nucleotides in length. Their secondary structure includes four short double-helical elements and three loops (D, anti-codon, and T loops). The record is from RNAcentral. Lineage: Bacteria; Candidatus Uhriibacteriota.